RNAcentral lists this ribosomal RNA (494 nucleotides) under uncultured bacterium. RNAcentral describes it as "partial 16S ribosomal RNA". It matches the Rfam family "Bacterial small subunit ribosomal RNA", at positions 28 to 507 of the family's 1533-position model. The record is from RNAcentral.
GACGAACGCUGGCGGCGUGCUUAACACAUGCAAGUCGAACGGAAAGGCCUGCUUUCCCUUGUGGAUUGCGGGUACUCGAGUGGCGAACGGGUGAGUAACACGUGAGUGAUCUGCCCCCAACUUGGGUAUAAGCCUGGGAAACUGGGUCUAAUUCCCGAUAGGACUGCAGGGUGGUGCCUGUGGUGGAAAACGAUUUUCUAGUGGUUGGGGAUGAGCUCGCGGCCUAUCAGCUUGUUGGUGGGGUAAUGGCCUACCAAGGCGGCGACGGGUAGCCGGCCUGAGAGGGUGGACGGCCACAUUGGGACUGAGAUACGGCCCAGACUCCUACGGGAGGCAGCAGUGGGGAGGAUUACACAGUGGGCGGAAGCCUGAUGCAGCGACGCCGCGUGGGGGAUGACGGCCUUCGGGUUGUAAACUCCUUUCGACCGAGAGGAAGCCACCUGGUUGGAAGGGUGGUGACGGUAGUGGUAGAAGAAGCACCGGCUAACUACGUG